Molecule: long non-coding RNA, 625 nt
Organism: Solanum pennellii
Lineage: Eukaryota; Viridiplantae; Streptophyta; Magnoliopsida; Solanales; Solanaceae
Exons: 2
Source: RefSeq, a predicted model, not a curated record
UUGUUUCAAAAUUAAUCAAAAGUAGAUUUUGUUACUAAUUAACAAUUAGCAUGAGGUGGUUAAUAACAAUUUUAGUCAUUGCUACUUUCUUUUCAUCCCAAUUAGCUUAUGCCUAUGAUGACAAUCCUCUACAAGACAUAUGUGUUGCAGUUCAAGACUCCAACACUUCUGUUUUUGUGAAUGGGAAGAUUUGUAAAGACCCAAAGCUGGCAAAUGCAGAUGAUUUUUUUACUUUGGUUUUAAUAUAAGUAGAGAAACAUUAUAUAAAAAAAUAUGAUUAUGCUACAAGAGUCGACUCUUUGCUAAAAGUCUUGAAUCUUGGUGAUGUGUUUGUGAUUCCACGAGGGCUUAUUCACUUUGCGUAUAAUGUUGGAAGUACAAAAGCUACAGUUUUUGCUAGUUUCAACAGUCAAAGUCCCGGAUUCAUCUUUAUUCCUGAUAUAAUCUUUGCUUCUGAUCCACCUAUUAUGGACGAUGCUCUUGUCAAAGGUUUUAAGCUUGAUAAGAAUGUGAUUAGACAACUUCAAAAGAAAUUCUCCUAGAUUUUAUGUCACUACAAAUGUUGUUUUGUAUGUUGAGGAAAUUCACAUAGAAUGAUAAUGACUUGUUUGUUUUGUGUCUCUAA